Molecule: long non-coding RNA, 554 nt
Organism: Populus trichocarpa (black cottonwood)
Lineage: Eukaryota; Viridiplantae; Streptophyta; Magnoliopsida; Malpighiales; Salicaceae
Exons: 2
Source: RefSeq, a predicted model, not a curated record
AGCACACUCCCUUCUUUAUCAGCAUUACCUUGUCAGGAUGUCGCCUUAACCAUCUUCUUCUAGUAUCCUAUGUAAAUUUCUCAUCUCUAACCAUGAUCGAUCCUUCCUCUUACCUUUUGUUGGUAACUUUAUGGUUCCUAAUUUGUUUCUUGGAGUUGGACUUAACAAUUUAAUCUCUCAGUCUAGAAGCGCUCUUAAUUUGCUUUUGGUUAUCACUACGAAUAAAGACUACAAGCACUAGCAACGAAGUUCAAUGUUCAUCUUUUUCACGUCACUACACACAAUCAGUUGUUUAUGUGCAGCACAGCCACUGCUGAAAACUUGCAGGAGAUGGAGGCAUAUCUACUUUGAACUAUCAGUUUUUGGAUUACAUGAGGUACAAAUUCGAGGAUGUUCUACGUAAGCUCUGCUAGAUAUUAUCUGUUUCCUUGAAGUAUCGUGUUGUAGAUUAGUUUCUAUUUCUUUUCUUGACAGUAGCAGUACUUAACUGUAUCAUAUGCUUGUUAUAAGAUCAAUCCUCAUUUCAAUAUCAGAAUGCUAGUUUAUUUCAUCAA